GCCGUGACCUUUGUUUCUGACGAGACUGACGCCAAGACCCUGAACGAUGUGCAGGACCGCUUCGAGGUCAACGUGGCAGAGCUCCCAGAAGAGAUUGACAUCUCUACAUACAUUGAACAGUCCAGAUGAAAAUCGCUCCCUGACCAGUGAAGACGACGUGUCCGUGCCCCUCUGUCCUGGUCUUUUUUUGGAGAGGGAAAAUAAAAUAAUUUUUUAUUUCUAUUUUAAAUGCCUCUCCCUUAUCUCCCAGUUCAUUAAGCAUAACUUUUCAUUUCAUUUUUAUCCUAUCCUCCCGAGGCUGCAGUUUUAAUGUUAUUUUUCCUGUUAAUGGUGGUUGUUUCUAUUUUUGUUUAAUGAAAUAAUUUACAUUAAAAUGUUUUAUACAAUGUUA
Molecule: long non-coding RNA, 391 nt
Organism: Oncorhynchus keta (chum salmon)
Lineage: Eukaryota; Metazoa; Chordata; Actinopteri; Salmoniformes; Salmonidae
Exons: 2
Source: RefSeq, a predicted model, not a curated record